Molecule: ribosomal RNA, 560 nt
Filed under: Limosilactobacillus fermentum
Lineage: Bacteria; Bacillati; Bacillota; Bacilli; Lactobacillales; Lactobacillaceae
Description: bacterial SSU rRNA
Rfam family: Bacterial small subunit ribosomal RNA
Source: RNAcentral
UUGAUUGAUGGUGCUUGCACCUGAUUGAUUUUGGUCGCCAACGAGUGGCGGACGGGUGAGUAACACGUAGGUAACCUGCCCAGAAGCGGGGGACAACAUUUGGAAACAGAUGCUAAUACCGCAUAACAACGUUGUUCGCAUGAACAACGCUUAAAAGAUGGCUUCUCGCUAUCACUUCUGGAUGGACCUGCGGUGCAUUAGCUUGUUGGUGGGGUAACGGCCUACCAAGGCGAUGAUGCAUAGCCGAGUUGAGAGACUGAUCGGCCACAAUGGGACUGAGACACGGCCCAUACUCCUACGGGAGGCAGCAGUAGGGAAUCUUCCACAAUGGGCGCAAGCCUGAUGGAGCAACACCGCGUGAGUGAAGAAGGGUUUCGGCUCGUAAAGCUCUGUUGUUAAAGAAGAACACGUAUGAGAGUAACUGUUCAUACGUUGACGGUAUUUAACCAGAAAGUCACGGCUAACUACGUGCCAGCAGCCGCGGUAAUACGUAGGUGGCAAGCGUUAUCCGGAUUUAUUGGGCGUAAAGAGAGUGCAGGCGGUUUUCUAAGUCUGAUGUG